AGUGAACGCUGGCGGUAGGCCUAACACAUGCAAGUCGAACGGCAGCACAGUAAGAGCUUGCUCUUACGGGUGGCGAGUGGCGGACGGGUGAGGAAUACAUCGUAAUCUACUUUUUCGUGGGGGAUAACGUAGGGAAACUUACGCUAAUACCGCAUACGACCUACGGGUGAAAGCAGGGGAUCUUCGGACCUUGCGCGAUUGAAUGAGCCGAUGUCGGAUUAGCUAGUUGGCGGGGUAAAGGCCCACCAAGUCGACGAUCCGUAGCUGGUCUGAGAGGAUGGUCAGCCACACUGGAACUGAGACACGGUCCAGACUCCUACGGGAGGCAGCAGUGGGGAAUAUUGGACAAAGGGCGCAAGACUGAUCCAGCCAUACCGCGUGGGUGAAGAAGGCCUUCGGGUUGUAAGCCCUUUUGUUGGGAAAGAAAAGCAGCAGGUUAAUACCCCGCUGUUCUGACGGUACCCAAAGAAUAAGCACCGGCUAACUUCGUG
This 491-nucleotide ribosomal RNA is filed under the name uncultured bacterium. RNAcentral's name for it is "partial 16S ribosomal RNA". It matches the Rfam family "Bacterial small subunit ribosomal RNA", at positions 29 to 507 of the family's 1533-position model. The record is from RNAcentral.